Molecule: ribosomal RNA, 468 nt
Filed under: uncultured bacterium
Lineage: Bacteria
Description: partial 16S ribosomal RNA
Rfam family: Bacterial small subunit ribosomal RNA
Source: RNAcentral
GACGAACGCUGGCGGCGUGCUUAACACAUGCAAGUCGAACGGAAAGGCCCUGCUUUUGUGGGGUGCUCGAGUGGCGAACGGGUGAGUAACACGUGAGUAACCUGCCCUUGACUUUGGGAUAACUUCAGGAAACUGGGGCUAAUACCGGAUAGGAGCUCCUGCUGCAUGGUGGGGGUUGGAAAGUUUCGGCGGUUGGGGAUGGACUCGCGGCUUAUCAGCUUGUUGGUGGGGUAGUGGCUUACCAAGGCUUUGACGGGUAGCCGGCCUGAGAGGGUGACCGGCCACAUUGGGACUGAGGUACGGCCCAGACUCCUACGGGAGGCAGCAGUGGGGAAUAUUGCACAAUGGGCGGAAGCCUGAUGCAGCAACGCCGCGUGCGGGAUGACGGCCUUCGGGAUGUAAACCGAUUUCGCCUGUGACGAAGCGUGAGUGACGGUAAUGGGUAAAGAAGCACCGGCUAACUACGUG